GCUCGUCACAUCCUGGGGCUGGAGAAGGUCCCAAGGGUUCGGCUGUUCGCCGAUUAAAGUGGCACGCGAGCUGGGUUCAGAACGUCGCGAGACAGUUCGGUCCCUAUCUGUUAUGGGCGCAGGAAGUUUGCCGGGGGCUGGCUCUAGUACGAGAGGACCGAGCCGGACGCACCGCUAGUGGACCAGUUGUCCCGCCAGGGGCACCGCUGGGUAGCUAUGUGCGGAAGAGAUAAGCGCUGAAAGCAUCUAAGUGCGAAACUCGCCUGAAGAUGAGACUUCCCAUGAGGGCCGUCGAAGACGACGACGUGGAUAGGCCGCAGGUGUAAAGCCGGUGACGGCAAAGCCGAGCGGUACUAAUGGCCCGAUAGAUUUCCUUAC
This 378-nucleotide ribosomal RNA is filed under the name bacterium. RNAcentral's name for it is "partial 23S ribosomal RNA". It matches the Rfam family "Bacterial large subunit ribosomal RNA", at positions 2535 to 2925 of the family's 2925-position model. The record is from RNAcentral.